Molecule: ribosomal RNA, 468 nt
Filed under: uncultured bacterium
Lineage: Bacteria
Description: partial 16S ribosomal RNA
Rfam family: Bacterial small subunit ribosomal RNA
Source: RNAcentral
GACGAACGCUGGCGGCGUGCUUAACACAUGCAAGUCGAACGGAAAGGCCCUGCUUUUGUGGGGUGCUCGAGUGGCGAACGGGUGAGUAACACGUGAGUAACCUGCCCUUGACUUUGGGAUAACUUCAGGAAACUGGGGCUAAUACCGGAUAGGAGCUCCUGCUGCAUGGUGGGGGUUGGAAAGUUUCGGCGGUUGGGGAUGGACUCGCGGCUUAUCAGCUUGUUGGUGGGGUAGUGGCUGACCAAGGCUUUGACGGGUAGCCGGCCUGAGAGGGUGACCGGCCACAUUGGGACUGAGAGACGGCCCAGACUCCUACGGGAGGCAGCAGUGGGGAAUAUUGCACAAUGGGCGGAAGCCUGAUGCAGCAACGCCGCGUGCGGGAUGACGGCCUUCGGGUUGUAAACCGCUUUCGCCUGUGACGAAGCGUGAGUGACGGUAAUGGGUAAAGAAGCACCGGCUAACUACGUG